AAAGCAGCUCGCAUCCAAGGACUUCAAGGGUACAGUUAUGUAAACUGUAUGCUUUAAAGUGUUGUAUACAAAUAGGUGUGUCUCUGUAGUGCCUGUCCAUCUAUCAAGUGAAAUUAAACCACCAAGUACAAUUUUUGUGACCUGCCUUUUUCUACAAAUGAAUAUGGGAGCGUUAUUCUGAAUUUGUGCCCUACUGCUGUGACCAAACAGUCUCACCAAUUUACAGAAUGCCACUAUCACACCAAGUUUUCUUUGCCUAUGACUUGACAUCUGAUCUACGAUUUUCAAGGCAACAAGCAUCAUCUUCCACAUGGCAGGACGCACCGAUUGGUGGAAGCCGAACCACACCUCCCGGCCUCCGCCCAGAGGAUGAUCAUAGCCCUCCGGAGACGAGAAGAAGGAGCGGCCCACCGGCGUAUAUCUACAGAUGGUAGCGGGCGCGAAAGGCUACGAGGCGGGCGUAGUAGGCCGGUGCUGGGAUGGACACGGAGCGGGUGCAGCGAACAUAGGUGUGGCACAACUGGUAGGUGAGGAUCUGCAACUCGUCAGCCGUGAAACGAUUGUCAUCCCACAAGACGUAAUAAUGCGACGGCCGGCUUGUACCCUGGAGGCGGAGAGAAAGCAAGUCAAAUUAUAUUUUUAGAAUCCCCCAAGUUUUAUGUUCAGCAUCCAAUCAUUCAGUAUUGACCUGCGGCAGCUGUCCCUCGGGAACGCCGUCCCUGUAGAAGAUGAUCCUGGUGGGCUUGAAACGAGUGGACUUGUAGAACUGGAUGAGCAGCUCACGCACCAUGUAGGACAGGUCCUCGAUGAUCUCCUGCCGGGGCCGCUGGACCCGUACGGUGGCGCAGUACCGGCUGGGAUGGGCAUCCAUGCUGCCCACCACCUAAAAGAGCAACAUGGCGACCAAUCACAGCAUGGCUGAGGUCAGCGGCGGAUGAGGGGUUGACGUCACCUCACUUUUCUCAACGUGACUCAGUGUGAUGAGACAUUUGUUUCCUUUUACCAACACCUUCUUCACUCUCAUUUUUUUUUUUCAUUUUUUGGGCGUCAGACAGACUGAAUUUAACAGAAUCUUUUGUCUGAAUUUUUUCAUCCAAGCAAAGGAAUUGGAACAUGUUUAUGAUAGGUGUGUCAUAUUGAUCAUUCCAUCCACCCACCCAUUUUUUGUACUGCUCCACCUUAUUAGGGCCAUGGCCAUGGUGGAGUCUAUCCUAGCUAUCUUUGGAUAAAUGGCAGCGUACACCCUGAAUUGGUCGCGAGCCAAUCGCAGGGCACAUAUAAGCAAACAACCAUGCGCACUAAUUUUCACACCUAUGGGGCAAUUUAGAGUAUACAAUUAACCUACCAGCGAUGUUUUUGGAAUGUGGGACGAAACUUCAGUACCCAGAGAAAACCCAACCAGGCACUGAGAGAACAUGCAAACUCCACAAAGUGAGGCCCAGAUUUGAACUCCUGGUCCUCAGAAUUAUAACAAGUUGUCCACCGUAAAAAAAAAAAACAUAAUAAAGACAAAAUCUAACAUUUGUAACAACUACUUUUGUGAUAGUUGAUAGUUUAGAGGGGUGAAUGUUUUGAGUAGAUGGAGAAAUAAAGUGAUAGUGGCCAUUAUACAUAAAUAGAAGCAUUAUUCAGCUUCUGGUGGUGCGCAUUAUACUUCAGCAAAUACCCAAGAAAUUACAGUAAUACUUUGUACAGGAUCUGGCCCUGCGCCUGAUUGGUGAACAGUUCAGGGUGUAGUCUGCCUUUCACCUGAAGCUAGCUGGGAUAGGCUGCAGCUUUCCGGCAACCCUUGUGAGGAUUAGCGGCUUGGAUAAUGACAUUAUAUGACUUUGUAAAGUGAAGUGUCCAUGUUCAAUGAUAAAUUCUAAGAAAUGAGUCAGAAGUCUCACACAACCUUUUCAAGUAAAACAAGACUUCAAUUUGUCUCAUUUCCAAGUAGAUCAAUGGUGCAAACUCUUAUUAUUAUUAUUUUUUUUAAUAUGUCAGCAGUGUGCAAAAGAACACGUAAUGACUGGAUCAAACUACAAGACUAAUUGGGUCUUUCCUGAUUGCAUUAUGUCAGACUACUGCAAUAAAAUCUUAUAAUGCGAUACCUCCACAUCCUGACUACUAAAGUCCCUGAGCCUUACCUCGCAAACUCAAACAACCUGAUACACUUGUUACCAUGGACAACAACAAUGGAUUCGACAGACUGUAUUGUAAGAACAAAAUGGUGAAAUACAUGUUGUGGUGCUCGGGAGAGGACUUUCAUUCAAGGAUUGCUUGAGGUAUGUUUAAAUGCUUUUAAUACAAUACAGCGUACAAGCAGGCUAAAAAAAUGUUAUGUAGCCUCGCAAGCUAGUGCUAGCACUAACGAUUGUAUAUAAACAUGUCGGCGUUCUCUCGAAUCAUGCUCUUCCGUUGUGUUUGAAGUGAUUUAAAUACAGUAAGUUAGCACCUAUUAUUUCUGUCAUGUUGCAGUGUUGGUUUGACCUGAUUGAUUACAUUACAUGACCUGACUUUAUAGUUUUGAAGAUACUCAGUAUACAGUGCACAAGUAUAUUCAGUAAACGAACAAGUCCUUUAAAUAGACAUAGCUCAAUCUUGUAAUCAGAUCAGUGAUUGUUUUUUAUAACUCUGUGAUCGGCCCCAAAAAUCCUGAUUGUGUAAGAUCUACCCAGAAACCACCACUCAGUCUCACUCGUCAAACACCUUCCCGUUCACUUUAGGUUAUGAGACUUACAGCUGUGAUGGAAGGCUUCUUGCCGUCUCCAGCAGGGGGGUGAGUCACAUCAGCUCCUAGGAAGAUAACAGGCUGCUGGAACACCGCUGACCUGAAAGAGAAAACGCAAGCUACAUCAUUGGUUGAAGAUCCAGAAUAACUUCCAAGUGUGGGCUGGACUACAUGGUCAGAAACAUUACCGUGCAAAAGAACUAUAGUGUUAUGCAGAAACACCUCCAUCAGACACAGACGGGGGUUUUUCCAGGCAGAAUGACGAUGAUGAGCUGGAGGCCCGAGUAGGUGUUCUUCAGAUGUCUGAACAUGGGCUCCACGCUGUCCGCUCCCUGGGCGUACUUGCAGAAGCACGGCUGGCCCUGGAUGGGCAUGCCGGCGUCCUUGGAGAUCUUCCGAAGCUGAAAAGAAAGUAAAAACAGCAGCGGGAAAUGGCCAAAAAGUGCAGAGGAAACUCCACCCUGUGGCCUCCUACCAAACAUCAGCCGUUGCGAGGACCCUGACUUGGAGGAGAACAGCAGUACAUUUUCAAAACUGUGCAUGUGGGUUUUGCUCGGGUAUAAAGGCAAACUGGGCGGUAACUGCCCGCCCGACUAUAAAGAAGCCUUGAGAAGCCCUGCUAACUGUUAAGAUAACGUGAAAAGUAGCAAAACCACCAGAAUAAGUUUUUAGGUGGUACAGUAAACAGAGGUCCUCUGCAACUGUGUGACAGCAGAGAGUAACCAACUAUGAACAACAAAUUCGCAGGUAAAUUAAAAUUGUGUCUCAUUCGAAGAUACUUCACCACAUCACAAACGUCGGAAAACUGUAAAUUAGUCAGUACACAAAUAAAUUAAACAUAUCAGCAAUGCUGUGUUCGUUUGCAGUAUUUUUAGAGAGCAGAUUUUUUUUUUUUUUAGGUCUGCACAGUAAAUCUCAAAAUUACAUAGUUUGUUUUUAUUUAUUCUAAUGAUGUAUUUAUUUUAUCUGUUUAGCUUUGCUAACGGACUAUAUAAUCCAUUAGGAAAUUCUUGCUUUAGCUUUACACGAAAGAUUAUAUCGCAUUUCAUACCAUAACUGUGAAGGGAUUCGGUUUUUGCUAUAA
Long non-coding RNA from Syngnathoides biaculeatus (alligator pipefish), 3797 nucleotides. RefSeq lists it as uncharacterized. The record is from RefSeq and is a predicted model, not a curated record. The transcript is spliced from 8 exons. NCBI's taxonomy places the organism in Eukaryota, Metazoa, Chordata, Actinopteri, Syngnathiformes, Syngnathidae.